This 267-nucleotide long non-coding RNA is filed under the name Anas platyrhynchos platyrhynchos (common mallard). RNAcentral's name for it is "lncRNA (ENSAPLG00000019349.1)". Lineage: Eukaryota; Metazoa; Chordata; Aves; Anseriformes; Anatidae. The record is from RNAcentral.
AUUCUUGUCUCCUUAUUCAGAUGUUAGUCUGAACUUUAGUCUUCCACAAAACAAAUGACAUUUCUUUCCUGUCCUCAGGAAGGUAAGACAUCCUGAGAAUCCUUCUGAAGUGGACCCCAAUGGAGACACACACACUUAAAGCCUCUUACUGCUACUGCAUAUAGUAAGAAGGAAGGCAUGGGAAGUAUGUCUGUGGGGCAAGCAUACUAAAGAAAUGAAGACAUCCACAACCAUCCAGGCCUGGUAAAAAUCUUUUCAGUGUGCGCU